RNAcentral lists this transfer RNA (72 nucleotides) under Ovis aries (sheep). It matches the Rfam family "tRNA". From Rfam's summary of the family: Transfer RNA (tRNA) molecules are approximately 80 nucleotides in length. Their secondary structure includes four short double-helical elements and three loops (D, anti-codon, and T loops). The record is from Rfam by way of RNAcentral. Lineage: Eukaryota; Metazoa; Chordata; Mammalia; Artiodactyla; Bovidae.
CCCCUGGUGGCUCAGACCAUAAAGAAUCUGCCUUCAGUGCAGGAGAUCUGGGUUCGAUCCCUGGUCUGGGGA